AGAGUUUGAUCAUGGCUCAGAACGAACGCUGGCGGCAGGCUUAACACAUGCAAGUCGAACGCCCCUUCGGGGGAGUGGCAGACGGGUGAGUAACGCGUGGGAAUCUACCCAGCUCUACGGAAUAACUCAGGGAAACUUGUGCUAAUACCGUAUACGCCCUUCGGGGGAAAGAUUUAUCGGAGUUGGAUGAGCCCGCGUUGGAUUAGCUAGUUGGUGGGGUAAUGGCCUACCAAGGCGACGAUCCAUAGCUGGUCUGAGAGGAUGAUCAGCCACACUGGGACUGAGACACGGCCCAGACUCCUACGGGAGGCAGCAGUGGGGAAUCUUGGACAAUGGGGGCAACCCUGAUCCAGCGACGCCGCGUGGGUGAUGAAGGCCUUAGGGUUGUAAACCCCUUUCACCGGGGAGGAUGAUGACGUUACCCGGAGAAGAAGCACCGGCUAACUCCGUGCCAGCAGCCGCGGUAAGACGGAGGGUGCUAGCGUUGUUCGGAAUCACUGGGCGUAAAGGGCGCGUAGGCGGCCUGGUUAGUCAGAUGUGAAAGCCCGGGGCUCAACUCCGGAACUGCAUUUGAUACUCCCAGGCUAGAGGUCGAAAGAGGAGAGUGGAAUACCCAGUGUAGAGGUGAAAUUCGUAGAUAUUGGGUGGAACACCAGUGGCGAAAGCGGCUCUCUGGUUCGAAUCUGACGCUGAGGCGCGAAAGCGUGGGGAGCAAACAGGAUUAGAUACCCUAGUAGUCC
This 740-nucleotide ribosomal RNA is filed under the name uncultured bacterium. Its description in RNAcentral is "bacterial SSU rRNA". It matches the Rfam family "Bacterial small subunit ribosomal RNA", at positions 8 to 796 of the family's 1533-position model. The record is from RNAcentral.